RNAcentral lists this transfer RNA (82 nucleotides) under Blochmannia endosymbiont of Camponotus (Colobopsis) obliquus. RNAcentral describes it as "tRNA-Leu (TAA) (tRNA-Leu-TAA-1-1)". It matches the Rfam family "tRNA". From Rfam's summary of the family: Transfer RNA (tRNA) molecules are approximately 80 nucleotides in length. Their secondary structure includes four short double-helical elements and three loops (D, anti-codon, and T loops). Lineage: Bacteria; Pseudomonadati; Pseudomonadota; Gammaproteobacteria; Enterobacterales; Enterobacteriaceae. The record is from Rfam by way of RNAcentral.
GCCCGGGUGGUGGAAAUGGUAGACACAAGGGACUUAAAAUCCCUCGGUUUUUAUCGUACGAGUUCAAAUCUCGUCCCGGGUA